This 301-nucleotide ribosomal RNA is filed under the name uncultured bacterium. Its description in RNAcentral is "partial 16S ribosomal RNA". It matches the Rfam family "Bacterial small subunit ribosomal RNA", at positions 509 to 809 of the family's 1533-position model. The record is from RNAcentral.
CAGUAGCCGCGGUAAAACGUAGGGUGCAAGCGUUAAUCGGAAUUACUGGGCGUAAAGCGUGCGCAGGCGGUUAUAUAAGACAGAUGUGAAAUCCCCGGGCUCAACCUGGGAACUGCAUUUGUGACUGUAUAGCUAGAGUACGGCAGAGGGGGAUGGAAUUCCGCGUGUAGCAGUGAAAUGCGUAGAUAUGCGGAGGAACACCGAUGGCGAAGGCAAUCCCCUGGGCCUGUACUGACGCUCAUGCACGAAAGCGUGGGGAGCAAACAGGAUUAGAUACCCCCGUAGUCCCUGUCUCUUAUAA